This 691-nucleotide ribosomal RNA is filed under the name Klebsiella planticola. RNAcentral describes it as "Raoultella planticola partial 16S rRNA". Lineage: Bacteria; Pseudomonadati; Pseudomonadota; Gammaproteobacteria; Enterobacterales; Enterobacteriaceae. The record is from RNAcentral.
CGCUUUCGCACCUGAGCGUCAGUCUUUGUCCAGGGGGCCGCCUUCGCCACCGGUAUUCCUCCAGAUCUCUACGCAUUUCACCGCUACACCUGGAAUUCUACCCCCCUCUACAAGACUCAAGCUUGCCAGUUUCAAAUGCAGUUCCCAGGUUGAGCCCGGGGAUUUCACAUCUGACUUAACAAACCGCCUGCGUGCGCUUUACGCCCAGUAAUUCCGAUUAACGCUUGCACCCUCCGUAUUACCGCGGCUGCUGGCACGGAGUUAGCCGGUGCUUCUUCUGCGAGUAACGUCAAUCGCUAAGGUUAUUAACCUUAACGCCUUCCUCCUCGCUGAAAGUACUUUACAACCCGAAGGCCUUCUUCAUACACGCGGCAUGGCUGCAUCAGGCUUGCGCCCAUUGUGCAAUAUUCCCCACUGCUGCCUCCCGUAGGAGUCUGGACCGUGUCUCAGUUCCAGUGUGGCUGGUCAUCCUCUCAGACCAGCUAGGGAUCGUCGCCUAGGUGAGCCAUUACCCCACCUACUAGCUAAUCCCAUCUGGGCACAUCUGAUGGCAUGAGGCCCGAAGGUCCCCCACUUUGGUCUUGCGACGUUAUGCGGUAUUAGCUACCGUUUCCAGUAGUUAUCCCCCUCCAUCAGGCAGUUUCCCAGACAUUACUCACCCGUCCGCCGCUCGUCACCCGAGAGCAAGCUC